This is a long non-coding RNA of Helianthus annuus (common sunflower), 752 nucleotides long. RefSeq lists it as uncharacterized. The transcript is spliced from 2 exons. The record is from RefSeq and is a predicted model, not a curated record. NCBI's taxonomy places the organism in Eukaryota, Viridiplantae, Streptophyta, Magnoliopsida, Asterales, Asteraceae.
GCGUUAUUUUUUUUACACAGAAGCUUUGUAAAAAGAAAAGCACACCAGAUGCAGUUGGCAGGUGAGGGUAGUGGCAGACCUAGGGAGCAUCCCGGGUUGUCCUGAUACAGAUCCAUUAAAAUUGCAUCAGUUACACUAAGGAGGAAUGGUGGACGGGUGGUUGUUGAAAGUCGACCAUCUUUGCUGUAAGUGUGUGUGUUUGUUUUUAUGAGAAAGAACCUUUAACCGUACAUUAUCAAAAUCAAAACUUUAUAAUUACUUAAACCUGCUAAUCUGCCUGUAAUAUACUCCCUCUCCCUCCGUUGUAAUUCCUGUAUUUUCUCGUGGUUCUCAAUUAGUUCAUUUGUUCAUCCUAGUAACAAAACAAAACAAAAAAUUGAAUAAGCACUUGAAAAAAUCGAAUGGUGUUUUUUACUUGAAAAAUAGAAAAUAGAAAAAGAAAGCAUAAGGAAUUACCUUCGACUUUCUUCCCUUCGACAUUUUAUCGAUACUUUUCUUCAUUUUUAUAACUUGAAUAUCCCAAACGUCUCUAAGCACUGGAAGAAUCUCUCUCCACUUAUCAAAAUCCUUACCUUCCUCAUUUCAUCAUGUCUAUAAUAUAAUUGAUACUUGAAAUAAUUACUUUUUGUUUAUUCAACAUCCUAUUCAGAAUCGAUAAAUAAGAAUUUUGGGGAUAAAAAUAUCGUUGUGGUGGGGAAAACAUCGUUGUGGUGGUGUUCGAGGCUGAGGUGGUCUGCAGCGGGCGGCGGUAA